This 234-nucleotide unclassified non-coding RNA is filed under the name Hevea brasiliensis (rubber tree). Lineage: Eukaryota; Viridiplantae; Streptophyta; Magnoliopsida; Malpighiales; Euphorbiaceae. The record is from RNAcentral.
GCGAAGGGAGGGAAGGGGACUGGGAGUGCGGCGGUUGCCGGAAUCGCAACUACGCCUUCCGUUCCCUCUGCAACCUCUGCAAACAGCCCCGUCUCCUCGUCGACACAAAGACCCCGGCAGACUCCAAGUGGCUCCCACGCAUCGGCGACUGGAUCUGCACUGGUUGCAGUAACAACAAUUAUGCCUCCAGAGAAAUAUGCAAGAAAUGUGGCCAGCCAAAGGAGAAAGCAGCGA